Molecule: small nucleolar RNA, 107 nt
Filed under: Gossypium arboreum
Lineage: Eukaryota; Viridiplantae; Streptophyta; Magnoliopsida; Malvales; Malvaceae
Description: Plant small nucleolar RNA R71
Rfam family: Plant small nucleolar RNA R71
About the family: R71 is a member of the C/D box family of snoRNAs containing the C (UGAUGA) and D (CUGA) box motifs. Multiple nearly identical copies of this snoRNA have been identified in Arabidopsis, and it is thought to function as a 2'-O-ribose methylation guide for 18S ribosomal RNA.
Source: Rfam by way of RNAcentral
AUCCCAUUAUGAAGACACUUACGAAGUAACUCAUUGAAUCACUCCCAAGCCUCAUACAAAGACUCGUCAUGCAAUUAUUGGAAAGUUGUUAUCUCAUUCCUCAACUU